RNAcentral lists this transfer RNA (69 nucleotides) under Bos taurus (domestic cattle). It matches the Rfam family "tRNA". From Rfam's summary of the family: Transfer RNA (tRNA) molecules are approximately 80 nucleotides in length. The record is from Rfam by way of RNAcentral. RNAcentral also lists the same sequence under 2 other names. Lineage: Eukaryota; Metazoa; Chordata; Mammalia; Artiodactyla; Bovidae.
CCUGAUGGCUCAGCUGGUAAAGAAUCUGCCUGUAAUGCAGGAGACCCAGGUUUGAUUCCUGGGUCAGGA